This 234-nucleotide ribosomal RNA is filed under the name uncultured Staphylococcus sp. Its description in RNAcentral is "partial 16S ribosomal RNA". It matches the Rfam family "Bacterial small subunit ribosomal RNA", at positions 106 to 334 of the family's 1533-position model. The record is from RNAcentral. Lineage: Bacteria; Bacillati; Bacillota; Bacilli; Caryophanales; Staphylococcaceae.
GUGAGUAGCACGUGGAUAACCUACCUAUAAGACUGGGAUAACUUCGGGAAACCGGAGCUAAUACCGGAUAACAUGUUGAACCGCAUGGUUCAACAGUGAAAGACGGUCUUGCUGUCACUUAUAGAUGGAUCCGCGCCGCAUUAGCUAGUUGGUAAGGUAACGGCUUACCAAGGCAACGAUGCGUAGCCGACCUGAGAGGGUGAUCGGCCACACUGGAACUGAGACACGGUCCAG